GGGUCAUUUUAUGAGGAAUAAACGGCAACAAUAUGACACGAGCUUUGCUCCUGUGAUUCCUAUGUAUUUAAGUCUCUGAUGAUC
This 84-nucleotide small nucleolar RNA is filed under the name Leersia perrieri. Its description in RNAcentral is "snoRNA snoZ199". It matches the Rfam family "Small nucleolar RNA Z199". Rfam says of the family: snoZ199 is a C/D box small nucleolar RNA, which acts as a methylation guide RNA for sites on 18S and 25S rRNA. Rice snoZ199 is reported to be homologous to Arabidopsis snoR13. Lineage: Eukaryota; Viridiplantae; Streptophyta; Magnoliopsida; Poales; Poaceae. The record is from Rfam by way of RNAcentral.